UACGUAGGGGUGCGAGCGUUGUCCGGAAUUACUGGGCGUAAAGAGCUCGUAGGUGGUUUGUCGCGUUGUUCGUGAAAACCGGGGGCUUAACCCUCGGCGUGCGGGCGAUACGGGGCAGACUUGAGUACUGCAGGGGAGACUGGAAUUCCUGGUGUAGCGGUGGAAUGCGCAGAUAUCAGGAGGAACACCAGUGGCGAAGGCAGGCUC
This 207-nucleotide ribosomal RNA is filed under the name uncultured bacterium. RNAcentral's name for it is "partial 16S ribosomal RNA". It matches the Rfam family "Bacterial small subunit ribosomal RNA", at positions 524 to 729 of the family's 1533-position model. The record is from RNAcentral.